RNAcentral lists this long non-coding RNA (601 nucleotides) under Mustela putorius furo (domestic ferret). Its description in RNAcentral is "lncRNA (ENSMPUG00000027762.1)". The record is from RNAcentral. Lineage: Eukaryota; Metazoa; Chordata; Mammalia; Carnivora; Mustelidae.
AUGUCCACGCAGGGUCCAGGGUCCAGGGUGUCGCCACACCUUCGUGCUCUCAUCUGUUCCUCCGAUUUCCUCAGGGAGCACGAUGGGAAGAGCUUAUGCCUGAGCCCCUCCCUCAUGGGCCACUCUUCCAGCAGAAAUGUAACAUCAGCUCUGCUCAGGCCUCAAACCCGGGCUGAUGUCAGCAGCACCACCUCUCAUGAUGGAGUGGGCGGCCGCAGACCCCUCUCCCAGCUCGCAGAGCCUCUGGGAUCCCCAGCCUCACCCGCCUCAAGCCUUUGCAGGAGCUGCACCCUCUUGCUAGAACACCCCUUCUCCUGACUGCCAGGGACUGGCACCUUCUCUGCAUCCAGGUCUCCACUUGGAGGUCACCUCCCCUCACCGAGAGGGGCCUGCCCCGUGUCCCUCCGUGUCACACUUCAGUAGCUUCCUGUCACCUUGCAAUCUGGAACUUGUAUGACCAUCUGCCACUGUGUCAUUGCUGACGUCUCUUCUGUCGUCCCCUGUGUGCACAGAAGCUCUGGGAGGGCAGAACCCCUGUUGGGCUUACGUAGCCCCAGAACUCCAGGAUCAGGGCCAUAUCCAGGAAGUGUUCACUAACCAU